RNAcentral lists this long non-coding RNA (789 nucleotides) under Danio rerio (zebrafish). RNAcentral describes it as "si:dkey-15g22.2 (ENSDARG00000096297.2)". Lineage: Eukaryota; Metazoa; Chordata; Actinopteri; Cypriniformes; Danionidae. The record is from RNAcentral.
GUUGGCAAAAAUUAGUUGAUAAAAACAAAUUAAGACAGAUAAUGCAGAUGCCAAUGAAUGUAUAAGUUGAGAAUUCCUCAUUACCUCGACAUUUCAGAUCUUUACACCUCUCUGGCUUAUUUGCAUCCACCCGGGCUGAUCGUCUCCUUCAUCACUUUCAGAAAUAUGCCUGUAAUCCUGACUGGCCUCACAGUGUCUGUUUCUCAGCCAGCACCAUGCCGACAGGAGCUUGAGAAACGGUCUCUGAAAAAGAGGCGUAUAUCAAACGCAGGAAUGCUUUCUGAGUAAAGUCCGAGACAUAUGCGGAGCUCAGGGAAGACCAGGAUCCCCCAUGUGAGCUGCAUUCCAGAUUCAAAGCAAAGCGUGUGUGAGCAUGGUGUGGGCUCAGGACACAUACAAAGCUUUUCGUCUUUGAAGACCGAACCUACACAUCUUAUAUUAACCCCAGAAGCAGUGAAUCACUCGCCCUGCUGCUUCUGUCUGCGCAGCAUCUGCUGUGCUUGUUAUUGAGAUUCCCCGCUGACAGCUGGGCUCUGGAAAACCUAUGGAGGAGAAGGAAUCCUGGCGUUCCUGGCACUGUCAUGUGGGAGGAAGAUGUUUCAGGCUCGCAGCUCAGACUAGGUCAAUAGCACGUCCUGUUACAGCCCUGUUCUCUGUCCAGCUGUGCAGUGAUUCAUUUCAGAGCUUGAGGGAUCGAAACGGCGCUCAGAUCAACAGCAGCGGGAUUUUUGAGAUUUUAGAAGGCUCUUCGGUGAGGAGUGGAAUCUGCUGUUUUUUCCGACAGCUCAA